UACAGAGGUCUCGAGCGUUGUUCGGAUUCAUUGGGCGUAAAGGGUGCGUAGGUGGCGCUGUAAGUCGGGUGUGAAAUCCUGAGGCUUAACCUCGGAACUGCAUUCGAUACUGCGGCGCUUGAGGACUGGAGAGGAGACUGGAAUUCAUGGUGUAGCAGUGAAAUGCGUAGAGAUCAUGAGGAAGACCAGUGGCGAAGGCGGAUCUCUGGACAGUUCCUGACACUGAGGCACGAAGGCCAGGGGAGCAAACGGG
RNAcentral lists this ribosomal RNA (253 nucleotides) under uncultured bacterium. Its description in RNAcentral is "partial 16S ribosomal RNA". It matches the Rfam family "Bacterial small subunit ribosomal RNA", at positions 524 to 776 of the family's 1533-position model. The record is from RNAcentral.